This 527-nucleotide ribosomal RNA is filed under the name Acinetobacter johnsonii. RNAcentral's name for it is "bacterial SSU rRNA". It matches the Rfam family "Bacterial small subunit ribosomal RNA", at positions 50 to 573 of the family's 1533-position model. Lineage: Bacteria; Pseudomonadati; Pseudomonadota; Gammaproteobacteria; Moraxellales; Moraxellaceae. The record is from RNAcentral.
UACACAUGCAGUCGAGCGGGGAGUUAGCUUGCUAUACUGACCUAGCGGCGGACGGGUGAGUAAUGCUUAGGAAUCUGCCUAUUAGUGGGGGACAACAUUCCGAAAGGAAUGCUAAUACCGCAUACGCCCUACGGGGGAAAGCAGGGGAUCUUCGGACCUUGCGCUAAUAGAUGAGCCUAAGUCAGAUUAGCUAGUUGGUGGGGUAAAGGCCUACCAAGGCGACGAUCUGUAGCGGGUCUGAGAGGAUGAUCCGCCACACUGGGACUGAGACACGGCCCAGACUCCUACGGGAGGCAGCAGUGGGGAAUAUUGGACAAUGGGGGNAACCCUGAUCCAGCCAUGCCGCGUGUGUGAAGAAGGCCUUUUGGUUGUAAAGCACUUUAAGCGAGGAGGAGGCUACUGGUAUUAAUACUACCGGAUAGUGGACGUUACUCGCAGAAUAAGCACCGGCUAACUCUGUGCCAGCAGCCGCGGUAAUACAGAGGGUGCGAGCGUUAAUCGGAUUUACUGGGCGUAAAGCGUGCGUA